UCUCUCUAUAUGCAUAUAUGCAUACAUGCUUAUGUAUAUAUGUGCACAUAUAUUUACUUAUGUAUGCAGAUUAUGUAUGCAUAUACACACAUAUAUAUGAACAUUAAUUUAUAUA
Molecule: microRNA precursor, 115 nt
Filed under: Dipodomys ordii (Ord's kangaroo rat)
Lineage: Eukaryota; Metazoa; Chordata; Mammalia; Rodentia; Heteromyidae
Description: miRNA (ENSDORG00000024272.1)
Source: RNAcentral